CUACCUACGGGACGCAGCAGUGGGGAAUAUUGCACAAUGGGGGAAACCCUGAUGCAGCGACGCCGCGUGGGCGACGAAGCGCUCCGGCGCGUAAAGCCCUGUCAGCAGGGAAGAAAAAAGACAGUACCUGACCAAGAAGCCCCGGCUAACUACGUGCCAGCAGCCGCGGUAAUACGUAGGGGGCAAGCGUUAUCCGGAUUUAUUGGGUUUAAAGGGUGCGUAGGCGGAAUGCCAAGUCAGCGGUAAAAUCGCGGGGCUCAACCUCGCUCCGCCGUUGAAACUGGCGUUCUUGAGUGGGCGAGAAG
This 305-nucleotide ribosomal RNA is filed under the name uncultured bacterium. RNAcentral's name for it is "bacterial SSU rRNA". It matches the Rfam family "Bacterial small subunit ribosomal RNA", at positions 333 to 657 of the family's 1533-position model. The record is from RNAcentral.